GACAGAGGAUGCAAGCGUUAUCCGGAAUGAUUGGGCGUAAAGCGUCUGUAGGUGGCUUUUUAAGUCCGCCGUCAAAUCCCAGGGCUCAACCCUGGACAGGCGGUGGAAACUACCAAGCUGGAGUACGGUAGGGGCAGAGGGAAUUUCCGGUGGAGCGGUGAAAUGCGUAGAGAUCGGAAAGAACACCAAUGGCGAAGGCACUCUACUGGGCCAUUACUGACACUAAGAGACGAAAGCUAGGGGAGCAAAUGGG
This 253-nucleotide ribosomal RNA is filed under the name uncultured bacterium. RNAcentral describes it as "partial 16S ribosomal RNA". It matches the Rfam family "Bacterial small subunit ribosomal RNA", at positions 524 to 776 of the family's 1533-position model. The record is from RNAcentral.